Nerophis lumbriciformis (worm pipefish) is the source of this 1197-nucleotide long non-coding RNA. RefSeq lists it as uncharacterized. Lineage: Eukaryota; Metazoa; Chordata; Actinopteri; Syngnathiformes; Syngnathidae. The record is from RefSeq and is a predicted model, not a curated record.
AUAUUGUCAAUGUAAAGUUCUGAAUACGGAAGUGUUUCUCCUGACUUAUAUUAGUAACUUUACUCAUCAUGUGGGCGGGAGUUAAGCAGAUGCCACCAGCUACUGCACUCUUCAGGUGGUGUGGAGGGAACGGACGAUGGUUGAAAAGAAUAGAUGAGCACGGCAAAGGACGACGGUCCAUUUGAAAAAAUACAAAAAACUGCCACACUGUUGAGAAAACCAACAGCGAGACAGCAAGAUGGCCCAACCAAACUUGAUAGUUUAUGCCGUUAACGCGAUUGGCUGUUUAGCAUGUGUUCACUGAUCACUUCCUGGUUUGCUAGCUUACCAGACAGCAAGUGCCUUUAAUCGUUUCAUCGUUCCUACGGGAACAUUUGUGUUUACUUGAAGCUAAAGGAUGUUACAUAAACAUUCCGCGCCUUCUAAGGCUUCUGGCAUAGAGGCCAAGCCCCAGAGGAAGCUGCUUUACCAGAAGAGAAAAGGUGCACCUCCUUAUUGCUGUGCUAAAGGGAGGAAGGUAGCUCCCGUGACAAGAUCAAUGAAUCUUUGGUUUGCUACAUAAAGAAGACAAGGCAGCAACAACUCCCCAUUACUUUGUUUUCUCACUCGGAUGAAGACACUGCCACCGUCAUGCAGCUAAUCCUUUAGCAUCAUCAAUUCAUACUUGCCAACCCUCCUGAUUUUCCCGGGAGACUCCCGAAUUUCAGUGCCACUCCCGAAAAUCUCCCGGGGAAACCAUUCUCCCGAAUUUCUCCCGAUUUCCACCCGGACAACAAUAUCGGGGGCCUUUAGCGUCCUCUCUCACCUGAAAAGGAGACUAUUAUAUAUGUCUGUGUUAUCCAUAGGUUUAUCUAUAACCCAUAAAGUAGGCAGGCACGGAGCUAUUUCUCAGCGUGUGUUUAUUCCAGCCGGCACGUUAAUACACUGACACACAACAUCCGGAUUCCCAUCAUGCAUUGCUUCAAAACUACGGCAAGUAGUAAUGUCCAAAAACAUAACAGAGACGAAGCAGAAGAACGACGAAGAGACAUGGCGACGACGAGUAAGAAGAAGAAGUACACUUGCAAGUUCCAAAAUGAUUGGAAAAAAAAAUUCAGUUCAUCCAGGACAGCUCGAAGGGGAAGGGGUAUGCUGCCCGCACAUUUUGUAGAUCAGACUUCUCCAUUGAACACGGUGGCCGAACGGAUAUACUCAUUC